Molecule: ribosomal RNA, 639 nt
Filed under: uncultured Actinomycetes bacterium
Lineage: Bacteria; Bacillati; Actinomycetota; Actinomycetes
Description: bacterial SSU rRNA
Rfam family: Bacterial small subunit ribosomal RNA
Source: RNAcentral
CGCGGCCUAUCAGCUUGUUGGUGAGGUAACGGCUCACCAAGGCAUCGACGGGUAGCUGGUCUGAGAGGACGAUCAGCCACACUGGGACUGAGACACGGCCCAGACUCCUACGGGAGGCAGCAGUAGGGAAUCUUGCGCAAUGGGCGAAAGCCUGACGCAGCAACGCCGCGUGGGGGAUGAAUGCCUUCGGGUUGUAAACCCCUUUCAGCAGGGACGAAAAUGACGGUACCUGCAGAAGAAGCUCCGGCCAACUACGUGCCAGCAGCCGCGGUAAUACGUAGGGAGCGAGCGUUGUCCGGAAUUAUUGGGCGUAAAGAGCUCGUAGGCGGUUCAGUAAGUCGGGUGUGAAAACUCAAGGCUCAACCUUGAGACGCCACUCGAUACUGCUGUGACUUGAGUCCGGUAGAGGAGUGUGGAAUUCCUGGUGUAGCGGUGAAAUGCACAGAUAUCAGGAGGAACACCAGCGGCGAAGGCGGCACUCUGGGCCGGUACUGACGCUGAGGAGCAAAAGCAUGGGGAGCAAACAGGAUUAGAUACCCUGGUAGUCCAUGCCGUAAACGUUGGGCACUAGGUAUGGGACCAUAUCAACGGGUUCCGUGCCGUAGCUAACGCAUUAAGUGCCCCGCCUGGGGAGUACGG